AUGUGCGAGCCCAUUGCCGUCCGGCCCUUUCUCACAUCUCCAUUUCUCGGUGGAGGGGUCAAGAAGUCUAUCCCGGAGGAGGAAUCCAGAGAAGCGAGGCGUUGUAUAUAUCACCGCUGCACAUUCGAGAGGAGAGGCAGAGGAAGGAGGAGGAAGGAGGAAGAAGAGGGUUUUGCUACGUGGCAUGGAAUUCAUGGCAUAGUUGGUUCUUUCUUCUUCCUCUUCCUACCCCUGCCUCUUGCUCUUCCUUCUUCGCAAGCACCAGUCUCUCCGCCCUCGCAGCCAGCCGCUGCCGAGAGGGGGCCGGGAGAUCGCCACCGCCGGCUGCUCUCUGCCACGCCGCUUCGACCAGAGACAGGUGAGAUGGAAGGUUUCGAGUUCUUCCAGAUCAUACUUGACAACUCCUCGAGCAGGCUGAGGCUGCCUGACAAGUUUACCAGGGUGCUGCUAGACGGCGGCAAGCCCCAGGAAGUGAAGCUACAGGAGGCCGGCCAUGGGCGUCGCUUCUGGGACGUGAAGGUGGUGCUGGACGCCGACGGCCACAUGUACCUAGGGCGCGGCUGGGAGCAGUUCGCCCGUGCGCACGACCUGCGGCUCGGCUACUUCCUCGUCUUCAGCUUCGACGGCGACGCCGUGCUCACCGUGAAGGUGUUCGACGUGAGCAUGUGCCGCAGGCACUACCAGCACGACGGUGACACCAGCAGUGGGAGCAGCAGCGACGGUGACAGUGGGAGCAGCAACGCCAGCGACGGCGGCAGUGGUGGCAACAACUGGAGCCUGGCGGAGAUGGACGUCGAGGACGGGCCGACGGGGCAGUUCAGCGCCAUGCUGAGGAAAUGCAACCUGGGCAUGAAGCAGGAACAGUACCUGAACGUGCCGGUGGAUUUCCAGCUCGCGCACGGGUACGCGGAGAGGAGCAAGGUGGAGCUGCGGAUGCGCGGCAAGUCGUGGCUCGUGCACCUCAAGCACAACCCCAAGACGGGUGGCAGGCCGCGGGCGUCUUUCAGGUACGGAUGGCACCAGUUCUGCGUCGACAACGCCCUCGGCGAGGGCGACACCUGCUUCUUCCGAGCGCUCCGCCAAGGCAGCGCCGGCGGCGGCGGCGAGGACCACCUACUCAAGGUGGAAGUGAGGAGGCGCGACGGCAGCUUCCUGGUCUGA
RNAcentral lists this ribosomal RNA (1161 nucleotides) under Triticum aestivum (bread wheat). RNAcentral describes it as "partial small subunit ribosomal RNA". Lineage: Eukaryota; Viridiplantae; Streptophyta; Magnoliopsida; Poales; Poaceae. The record is from RNAcentral.